UCUUUUUCUUUUUUUCCCCAUUUUAUUUUUCCCAAACCAUUUCUCCCCUACCCCGAUUCCCUUUAUUUUUCCCCCCAAUUUCCCCAAAUCGGCAGCCCCCACCCUAAAAAUCUUUUCAUCUUCUUCCUAAUUUUUUAUUUCCUCAAGUCACUGUAUUGACAAAGUGCCCCAAAGGAAAAUUUAUUUGGGUUUUUAUUUUUCGAAGUCACUGUAUUGACGAAGUUCCCCU
This 229-nucleotide long non-coding RNA is filed under the name Gossypium raimondii (Peruvian cotton). RNAcentral describes it as "long non-coding RNA (GRAI_LNC008631)". The record is from RNAcentral. Lineage: Eukaryota; Viridiplantae; Streptophyta; Magnoliopsida; Malvales; Malvaceae.